CCUACGGGGGGCAGCAGUGAGGAAUAUUGGUCAAUGGCCGGAAGGCUGAACCAGCCAAGCCGCGUGAAGGAAGAAGGUGCCAAGCAUUGUAAACUUCUUUUGUCAAGGAACAAAAUCAGGCCCGCGAGCCUGAACGAGGGUACUCGAAGAAAAAGCAUCGGCUAACUCCGUGCCAGCAGCCGCGGUAAUACGGGGGAUGCGAGCGUUAUCCGGAUUUAUUGGGUUGAAAGGGUGCGUAGGCGGGCUGUUAAGUCAGCGGUAAAAGGCCGGGGCGCAACCCCGGCCAGCCGUUGAAACUGGGUUUCUAGAGAUGUCGAGAGGUAUGCGGAAUGCGCGGUGUAGCGGUGAAACGCUUAGAUAUUGCGCAGAACUCCGAUUGCGAAGGCAGCAUACCGGCGGCGAUCUGACGCUGAGGCACGAAAGCGUGGGUAUCGAACAGGAUUAGAUACCCCAGUAGUC
RNAcentral lists this ribosomal RNA (459 nucleotides) under uncultured bacterium. RNAcentral's name for it is "partial 16S ribosomal RNA". It matches the Rfam family "Bacterial small subunit ribosomal RNA", at positions 338 to 795 of the family's 1533-position model. The record is from RNAcentral.